RNAcentral lists this ribosomal RNA (431 nucleotides) under uncultured bacterium. RNAcentral's name for it is "partial 16S ribosomal RNA". It matches the Rfam family "Bacterial small subunit ribosomal RNA", at positions 29 to 507 of the family's 1533-position model. The record is from RNAcentral.
AGCGAACGCUGGCGGCAGGCUUAACACAUGCAAGUCGAGCGCCCCGCAAGGGGAGCGGCAGACGGGAGAGUAACACGUGGGAACAUACCUUUUGGUUCGGAACAACUGAGGGAAACUUCAGCUAAUACCGGAUAAGCCCUUACGGGGAAAGAUUUAUCGCCGAAAGAUUGGCCCGCGUCUGAUUAGCUAGUUGGUGAGGUAACGGCUCACCAAGGCGACGAUCAGUGGCUGGUCUGAGAGGAUGAUCAGCCUCACUGGGACUGAGACACGGCCCAGACUCCUACGGGAGGCAGCAGUGGGGAAUAUUGGACAAUGGGGGCAACCCUGAUCCAGCCAUGCCGCGUGAGUGAUGAAGGCCUUAGGGUUGUAAAGCUCUUUUGCCCGGGAAGAUAAUGACGGUACCGGGAGAAUAAGCCCCGGCUAACUUCGUG